This 348-nucleotide unclassified non-coding RNA is filed under the name Hevea brasiliensis (rubber tree). Lineage: Eukaryota; Viridiplantae; Streptophyta; Magnoliopsida; Malpighiales; Euphorbiaceae. The record is from RNAcentral.
UAAAUCACUCAAAUUAGGAAGAACACCAAAAAAGAACAAAUAGACUCUAACUUGCAAGUUUGGAUCACAAUAUACUAAAAUGAGAAGCAACAAGUAUCGCAAAUUGAAGAAUGAAUCAAAUUCAGUCAUGGAACUGACAAUUAUCAUUGCUAAAGCCUAAAACUCAUCAGACCACCACCAACUUGUAAACAUGGAACAUACUGUAGACAUUUAAACUAAUCUGCGAACAUUUGACAUAUCACCAGAAUUUAUCAACUACAUCACCCAAAGUUAAAUCCAUCUCAAAUUCUCAUUCAGAGCACAAGUAUACCACCUAUUACAGCAACUACUGCUUGCUAAACUUCAAUA